GAAUGCGCGUGGCAAUAACAAAUUAUUAUUGUCCGGUCUGCCGUCGCACACUUGGCUAGCUUCUUGUUUAACUCACCCACAUAAUUGACUCCUUUUAGAGAAUUUCGCGUUCAAAAGGCGAUCGCCGUGCCGGUUUGCGUCUGAAAAGUCUGCAAGAGGGCCUAUUAAACAACUGCAGCGACUCGGCCGGUUAAACUCACAAUCAGACUUAUAGUUGGCCGUUGAACGCCACCCCGACAAUUCGGCCGAAAACGCUGCCAAUCUCAUUAAUAUUGAUGAGAUAGGACGU
Molecule: non-coding RNA, 289 nt
Organism: Cinara cedri
Lineage: Eukaryota; Metazoa; Arthropoda; Insecta; Hemiptera; Aphididae
Source: the annotation of a GenBank genome assembly